CUGCCUGGAAUGCCCUCCCUCUUCACACCCCUCCACAGUGCUGACCUUGGGAAAUCCUGCUCAUUCUGCAAGGCUCACCUUAAACUUCAGUUCUGUGCCCCUUCCCAGAUUUCUAGGGAUACUUCUGUGAAGAGAAACUCUCCCCUCAUUAUCUCUUUGGUGAGGUGAAGUGAAGUUCAUAUAAGGAACCCAGGAUAAAUUCUUUCCCUUUAUCUACCAUAUGCAGAAUAGAAAAGAGAGAAAGAAAAGAGGAACAAUUUUCGAAUCACUCCUCCGACCACGGAAAUGCUUUUAAUUACCAGUUCAUCUGUUGGCACACUCUUCUGGCAGAGAUGUACCUGUAAAGAAGUUAUUCGGGACCAAAUCAGAAUCAGCUCCAAAUAGCAAAGCCUGCCAGAAAAAACAGACAAACUCUCAGGAACAACAAUGCCCAUUAUGCGUGCAGUAGGAGCUGCCAGACUUUGAUUACUGGCCAGGCAUUAACCCCUUUGGUGUCAUAUGGGGGAAAUGCCAAGUCUGAAUCCAGACACUUCCAGGAUUUUAAGUCACUUGUGGUGAAAGACCAGAUGAUUUAUAAUGACUUUUGCAAAAAAUGGCUAUUGUGAAAAGGAAGUGCAAGUUCAAGGCCACAUCUCCUUGCUUCCUGAAUUCUGCCAUGACUCACUCAUUCUGGCAAGCAAACAUACACUCAAUUACCUCUGCUUUUCCCUUUGUAGGACUGCAGGUCGUGGGUGAGAUGUACAGUGCUCUUGUUAUCUCCCCUCCUGUGUUUUCAGACAGAUGUCACAAGGAGAGAGGCAUAUUCGGCACUCACAGAGGAGUACCUGUGGGUUCCGUGAGACCGCCAUUUACAGUAAAGCUGCUAGAAAGGAGAAUUCCUGCAAAUGCUCUUGUGAUCAGUUUUUUUCUCUUGUUAUAUACCCUGUAGGUCAACAGACUAUGUCUCAUUUUGAGAGGUCAGAUAAUCAGAGAGCAAUGCAGUUUAUAGUGGGAGGGUGAUGGUAUGUGUAUAUGGCUGUGUGUGUGUGUAUAUGUGUGUGUGUGUGUGUGUGUGUGCUUUUGUGUGUGUGUGUGUGUGUAGUUUAUUUGUGUUUUUAUUUUACUCUUUAAUAUAUAUUUAUUGAUAAUCUGUUGUGGGGUGUGUGGGGACACCAUGUUAAUUACAAUCAUAACAAUAGGUACUAUUUAUUGAGAGCUUAUUGCAUGUCAGUAUUAUGUUAAACAUUUCACAUACACAAAUUUUAAUUCACUUAGUUCUUUUUUAAAAACUUUAUGAAAGCCUCAUUUUGUGUGUGUUACAUGCCAUUGAGUCAGCUCCA
Long non-coding RNA from Hipposideros armiger (great roundleaf bat), 1319 nucleotides. RefSeq lists it as uncharacterized. The record is from RefSeq and is a predicted model, not a curated record. The transcript is spliced from 5 exons. NCBI's taxonomy places the organism in Eukaryota, Metazoa, Chordata, Mammalia, Chiroptera, Hipposideridae.